AUAAAGCCAGCGCUCCCUGGCCAUCUUCCCUCUUUGCAGCCCUCUGCCCUUCCGCCCCACUCGCUCCCUCUGCCACCGAAGCCGCCCCGCCUUCUUCCUCUCGUUCCUUGCUUCGCCGCGCAAACGCCGAUGCCCGCUGUGGUGCGCUCGCUUCUCCCGCACAGCAUGCGCCAGAUGUGCGUGCUGGUGACCGUUACAGCGCUGCUGGCUGUUGCGCACCUGCCCACCCCCUCACGCGGCAGCGUGGAGUGGGUAUUGCAGCAGGUGCAGGUGCUGCACCGCCACGGCUCGCGCUCGGCGGUACCAACCCACAACACAACGGCCAUCUGCGGCUCGACACCGUGCGGGUUCCUGAACCCGGAGGGUGAGAUGAUGAUGCGGAACGUGGGCAGCUUCCUGCGCACACGCUACAACACGGACGCGACCGUUGUGGAUGAGCCGUUUCUGCCGUCACCGGACUACGAUCUCACCCUUGUGGACUCGCACUCCACGGAUGUGCAACGCACGCUGCAGAGUGCACAUAUGUUCCUUGCUGGGAUGUUCCCGAACGAAAGCCGGCUGAUCCCCGCCAUCCACACUGUGCCAAUAUCUCAGGACACGAUUCUAUACACUUUCUCGCAGCCUUGGGUUGCGCUGUAUAUCACGUACGCAGGCGCCGCUCAGUCGGCGCGCAUGAACCCCACGAUUGACCGCUACUUUCCCGACUGGACGGAGCUCAGGGAUCUCGGUGCGGCGGUGUGGAGUGAGGGCUACUGCUCCAACUUCACGACACGCCUGGGCUGUGUCCUUAUGGUGUAUGAUAUCGCCACUGCGAAGCUCGCUGUGGGCGAGUUGCCAGCCGCUGUUGCCGCCCGGUACGACGACCUGCAUGAGAUUAUCGCAGAGAGUUACCGCGGGUUGUGGUACUACGACCCCAGCAACUCCUUCUCUGUGCAGCAGGGCGGGCGCGGGCAGCCGUUCCUGAAGCAGGUGGUGAGGAACAUCGAUGACUUUGUUGCUGGCCGCAACACAUACAAGGUGAUGCAUUACAGCGGCCACGACAUUUCUCUGGGGGCCGUGUGGGGCACACUGGGCGACAAAGGUGUGCACGCGAUGCAGCCUCCCUACGCGCAGACGCUGGUGCUUGAGCUUGUGAAGAGCGCGAGCAGUGGCGAGCAUGGCGUGCGUGUGCUGCGUGGGUGGCCUGGCCAGACCCCUGAGACCGGGUUCACUUUCUCCUGGGACCCAACGUGGCAGCUGCAGUGCCAGCGCAGCAACGGGACGAGCUACGCUGCGACGGACAACCUGUGCCCACUGGAGGACUUCCGGCGCUAUGUUGCGUGGACGGUGGGAACAGACCCGCGCGGGAUGUGUCUGCUGGACGAGGAGACGUCUGCUCUGCUGGACUGCCCGACGGCCGAGGAGGAGCAGACCGUUUCCGUGGCGCUGCCCGAGUCAUGCUUGCUGUACCGCUCGGCGUGCCCCGCGUAUGCGUGCGCGCCCGGCUACGCUCUAUCCGCGCCGGGGUCGCAGUGCAAGUGCACGUCUGCUUCGUGCCUGGACUUGGGCAGCCACGGGAACAAUAACCUCGUGAAUUUGACGGUGAAGAUGUCCGGAGUCUCUGGAGGCGCUGUUGCCGGCAUCUCCAUCGCGACGUUCUGCGUAGGUGCACUUUUUGCCGUUGCGGUGUCGCUGAUUGUGCUGGCGCUGAUGAGCCGCAGCGGUGGCUCUGCGCACCGCUUUGGGCUCCGCGAUAAGUCCGUGGUACACGACGAGCCACUUCGUCCCGAGCUGUAGGCUCGUCAUGGCUCGCGCAUGUGCACCGGCACAGCCGGCGGCGGCCUGCGUGACGCUGCGUCCACAGCGGAUGACCUCCCCUCGCCCCCUCCCUCCCUUCCUCCUCCCCCCUCCCCCUCCUAUUCCUUCCCGCCUGUGAGCGUUUGCCCAACAUAAUGCGCCUUUCUUUUCGUUGACUCAUUCGUCCCGUGUGUGCGUGGCGGUGCGUGGGGUGACGAUGAUGGUGUGCGGGACUUUAGUGUGUGCGUGCACGUCUGUGCACACGCUGCGCACCGUCACCGCUACUACCCUGUUGCGUAUCGUCACUCCGCUGCGGCCGCGGGCGCGCCGUAAAAUAACUCUGUGGCGGGUGCGCGUGAGGGCACGCAAGUGCGCACCCUUCCCUUUCGCUCCCCGGCCCCCUAAUACUAAGCCCCCUCCCGUCUCUGUGAAGCCGUGUGCAGGUACGUGCGUCGUGCGUUCUACGUUGCGUGCGUGGGUACCUGUUGGCAGGGUAUGCAGGUCGCCUACUGCCCUCUGUGCGCGAAUGCGAGCAGGGACAGACAAUGACGCAUGGCGCACGCCUUGGCACACACGAGGGGUGUGAGUGACCUGCGGGAGACGGAGUAGCAUCCGUAGCGCGGAAGCGUGGCACAGGGGAGGCGGGCGCGAUGCCUCCCCCCACCCCCUGUGCGCUGCUUCUCAUGCUCUCGGUCUCUGGCUCGCUCGCCGUUGCCCCCUCUGUGCCGUAUCCGCUGACCUAUUCCUUCCCUGUCCCCCCUCCCCCUGGUUGCUUGUCAGUUGUGUAUUCCAUCUCUCACUGCGCUCGCGUGCACUGUGGCCUUUUCGCCUAUCUUUUUGUUUCACAUUGACUUGAGAGGACUCAGAGAGAGAAGUGGGAGGACGCGGCGCAGCUGCCUGUUGCAGCCCCCGCCUUGUGGUCUGGGAAUCGAGUCCGUGCGGCCAACGUGCUUGCUGCAGCAGGCGUUUGCGGCCCUCCCUUCAUUCCAUCACCGCUUCAUGUCCGCCCGCCUCCCAUCUCUGACCUUUCCUCCCGCUUUCUAUUAGCCCCUGCACGUGCGCCAUAGCCUCUCCGUGCGUUGCGGCUCAUCUUUUUUUUUUCUUCGCCCUUUUUCUUAUGCUCUCUUUUAUGGUCCCUUUCUGUCGUGCUUUUCUUCCCUUGUGCACUGCAUUGCCCUCCCCGAACGCUGUGGAGAAGGUGCGGAUGGGGAGGCGUGUUGCAGCUCCGUCGCAUCCCGUGAUGGAUCGCCAGACAGGCGUGUGUGUGCUUUUCUCACCCCCUCUGUCUCUGUGUGUGUGCCGAACUCGUUCACCGUGUGGAGUCUGCAAGCGCCUCAGCGGUGCUAAAAUCACCACGGUAGGAGCGGGGGAGAGAGAGCGGCACCCGUGCCGAAGUAUCGCGAUGUAUUGAGCGCACGCAUACACACGCAUCUCCCUACAUGUAUAUAUAUAUAUAUAUAUAUAUAUUGGUGUGCGUGUGUGUGCUGUUUUCAAACGCGGAUCUCGCUCAGAGAGCGCACGCACGUUGUUUCCGUUCUCUGUACGGCCUUGUCACCGGCUACUGCGUGUUGUUCCGUCAGCGCGAUGUCUCGUGGCGUCUCUUUUCUGCGUGAAGGGAUGGAAAGGUAAAAAAUGCUUCUCCUCCUCCUCUGGCUGCGUGGCUGUGCGUGCGUGCGUGCCUUGCGUCUCGAGCAGCUGACACCAUCGCGACGCGCAAGCAUGGGGGCCGAUCGCACUGCUUGGCGGCCGUGGCAAUGCACGAUGGAGGGAUGUGCUCAGCUGAUAACGUGCAGCUCCACUGUGAGGACGUACGUUGGGUAUUAGGGUCAGCCAGCGGACAGCUGGCCGCGCACGUACAAGUUCACCAUUGGCUCUGUCAGGGAUAGAUGAGCCACCUGUACAUCUGCCGUAUGGGUGUGCCUGCGUGACUUGCUGUGGGCUCUCUGUGCGUGCUUGUGACGUGGCAUGGCCAACUGCCUCUUCGUUGCUCUCCCUUUCCUCCAUCUUACUCCCCCUUCCUGCGGUGCUCCUCAG
Molecule: unclassified non-coding RNA, 3810 nt
Filed under: Leishmania donovani
Lineage: Eukaryota; Euglenozoa; Kinetoplastea; Trypanosomatida; Trypanosomatidae
Description: gene:LdHU3.28.3840(CDS-product:membrane-bound_aci d_phosphatase_putative)
Source: RNAcentral